GGCCGCGGGAAUUCGAUUGGAUCGCCCUUAGAGUUUGAUCAUGGCUCAGAACGAACGCUGGCGGCGUGCCUAACACAUGCAAGUCGUACGUGAAAGGGGUUUCGGCCCUGAGUAAAGUGGCGCACGGGUGAGUAACACGUGGAUAAUCUACCCGAUGAUUGGGGAUAACAUUCCGAAAGGAAUGCUAAUACCGGAUAAGCCCACGUAUCCUUUGGGGUAUGCGGGAAAAGGUGGGGACCUUCGGGCCUACCGUCAUCGGAUGAGUCCGCGUCCCAUUAGCUAGUUGGUGGGGUAAUGGCCUACCAAGGCGACGAUGGGUAGCUGGUCUGAGAGGAUGAUCAGCCACACUGGAACUGAGACACGGUCCAGACUCCUACGGGAGGCAGCAGUGGGGAAUUUUGCGCAAUGGGCGAGAGCCUGACGCAGCAACGCCGCGUGAGUGAUGAAGGCCUUCGGGUCGUAAAGCUCUGUCAGAGGGAAAGAACAACCUGUCGGUCAAUACCCGGCAGGCCUGACGGUACCCUCAAAGGAAGCACCGGCUAACUCCGUGCCAGCAGCCGCGGUAAUACGGAGGGUGCGAGCGUUAUUCGGAAUUAUUGGGCGUAAAGCGCGUGUAGGCGGUUGUUUAAGUCUGAUGUGAAAGCCCCGGGCUUAACUUGGGAAGUGCAUUGGAAACUGGGCAACUUGAGUACGGGAGAGGGUAGUGGAAUUCCGAGUGUAGGGGUGAAAUCCGUAGAUAUUCGGAGGAACACCGGUGGCGAAGGCG
This 766-nucleotide ribosomal RNA is filed under the name bacterium enrichment culture clone SRB-1. RNAcentral describes it as "partial 16S ribosomal RNA". It matches the Rfam family "Bacterial small subunit ribosomal RNA", at positions 1 to 723 of the family's 1533-position model. The record is from RNAcentral.